RNAcentral lists this unclassified non-coding RNA (371 nucleotides) under uncultured bacterium. Its description in RNAcentral is "contains 16S-23S intergenic spacer region". The record is from RNAcentral.
UCCGAGUUGUCCCCGGCAGUCCUCUUAAAGUCCCCGGCAUUACCCGCUGGUAACUAAGAGCAGGGGUUGCGCUCGUUGCGGCACUUAAGCCAACACCUCACGGCACGAGCUGACGACAGCCAUGCAGCACCUGUGCUGGCCCCUUGCGGACACGGGCUUUCACCCGCUUUAACCAGCAUGUCAAGCCCAGGUAAGGUUCUUCGCGUUGCGUCGAAUUAAACCACAUGCUCCACUGCUUGUGCGGGCCCCCGUCAAUUCCUUUGAGUUUCAACCUUGCGGCCGUAUUCCCCAGGUGAGGACUUAAUGCGUUAGCUGCGGCACCGAACCUUGCGGUCCGACACCUAGUCCUCAUCGUUUAGGGCGCGGACUAC